GGGCCAGUGGGGGCGUGCUAUACAUGCAAGUCGAGCGGACAGAAGGGAGCUUGCUCCCGGAUGUUAGCGGCGGACGGGUGAGUAACACGUGGGUAACCUGCCUGUAAGACUGGGAUAACUCCGGGAAACCGGAGCUAAUACCGGAUAGUUCCUUGAACCGCAUGGUUCAAGGAUGAAAGACGGUUUCGGCUGUCACUUACAGAUGGACCCGCGGCGCAUUAGCUAGUUGGUGGGGUAAUGGCUCACCAAGGCGACGAUGCGUAGCCGACCUGAGAGGGUGAUCGGCCACACUGGGACUGAGACACGGCCCAGACUCCUACGGGAGGCAGCAGUAGGGAAUCUUCCGCAAUGGACGAAAGUCUGACGGAGCAACGCCGCGUGAGUGAUGAAGGUUUUCGGAUCGUAAAGCUCUGUUGUUAGGGAAGAACAAGUGCGAGAGUAACUGCUCGCACCUUGACGGUACCUAACCAGAAAGCCACGGCUAACUACGUGCCAGCAGCCGCGGUAAUACGUAGGUGGCAAGCGUUGUCCGGAAUUAUUGGGCGUAAAGGGCUCGCAGGCGGUUUCUUAAGUCUGAUGUGAAAGCCCCCGGCUCAACCGGGGAGGGUCAUUGGAAACUGGGAAACUUGAGUGCAGAAGAGGAGAGUGGAAUUCCACGUGUAGCGGUGAAAUGCGUAGAGAUGUGGAGGAACACCAGUGGCGAAGGCGACUCUCUGGUCUGUAACUGACGCUGAGGAGCGAAAGCGUGGGGAGCGAACAGGAUUAGAUACCCUGGUAGUCCACGCCGUAAACGAUGAGUGCUAAGUGUUAGGGGGUUUCCGCCCCUUAGUGCUGCAGCUAACGCAUUAAGCACUCCGCCUGGGGAGUACGGUCGCAAGACUGAAACUCAAAGGAAUUGACGGGGGCCCGCACAAGCGGUGGAGCAUGUGGUUUA
RNAcentral lists this ribosomal RNA (934 nucleotides) under Bacillus sp. (in: firmicutes). Its description in RNAcentral is "bacterial SSU rRNA". It matches the Rfam family "Bacterial small subunit ribosomal RNA", at positions 26 to 948 of the family's 1533-position model. The record is from RNAcentral. Lineage: Bacteria; Bacillati; Bacillota; Bacilli; Caryophanales; Bacillaceae.